GAGAGAACGUUGCCGCUGGCAAUGGCCCGAAGGCGAGGCGCUUUAGCGCCGAGUAAUCCUUCCCCCACCACUC
This 73-nucleotide small RNA is filed under the name Klebsiella pneumoniae. RNAcentral's name for it is "partial RtT sRNA". It matches the Rfam family "RtT RNA", at positions 59 to 130 of the family's 130-position model. From Rfam's summary of the family: This family represents a bacterial cis-regulatory element known as RtT RNA. The exact function of RtT is unknown although it is thought that it may be involved in changing the cellular response in relation to amino acid starvation. Lineage: Bacteria; Pseudomonadati; Pseudomonadota; Gammaproteobacteria; Enterobacterales; Enterobacteriaceae. The record is from RNAcentral.